Molecule: ribosomal RNA, 506 nt
Filed under: uncultured bacterium
Lineage: Bacteria
Description: partial 16S ribosomal RNA
Rfam family: Bacterial small subunit ribosomal RNA
Source: RNAcentral
AGUGAACGCUGGCGGUAGGCCUAACACAUGCAAGUCGAACGGCAGCACAGGAGAGCUUGCUCUCUGGGUGGCGAGUGGCGGACGGGUGAGGAAUACAUCGGAAUCUACUCUGUCGUGGGGGAUAACGUAGGGAAGCUUACGCUAAUACCGCAUACGACCUACGGGUGAAAGCAGGGGAUCUUCGGACCUUGCGCGAUUGAAUGAGCCGAUGUCGGAUUAGCUAGUUGGCGGGGUAAAGGCCCACCAAGGCGACGAUCCGUAGCUGGUCUGAGAGGAUGAUCAGCCACACUGGAACUGAGACACGGUCCAGACUCCUACGGGAGGCAGCAGUGGGGAAUAUUGGACAAUGGGCGCAAGCCUGAUCCAGCCAUACCGCGUGGGUGAAGAAGGCCUUCGGGUUGUAAAGCCCUUCUGUUGGGAAAGAAAUCCAGCUGGCUAAUACCCGGUUGGGAUGACGGUACCCAAAGAAUAAGCACCGGCUAACUUCGUGCCAGCCGCCGCCGUAA